CACGCAGGCGGUUUUGUCAGUCAGAUGUGAAAGCCCGGGGCUCAACCCCGGACGUGCAUUUGAAACAGCAAAACUUGGGUAUGGGAGAGGGAAGUGGAAUUCCUGGUGUAGCGGUGAAAUGCGUAGAUAUCAGGAGGAACACCGGUGGCGAAGGCGACUUCCUGGACCAAUACUGACGCUGAGGCGCGAAGGCGUGGGGAGCAAACAGGAUUAGAUACCCUGGUAGUCC
This 229-nucleotide ribosomal RNA is filed under the name uncultured bacterium. Its description in RNAcentral is "partial 16S ribosomal RNA". It matches the Rfam family "Bacterial small subunit ribosomal RNA", at positions 568 to 796 of the family's 1533-position model. The record is from RNAcentral.